This 240-nucleotide ribosomal RNA is filed under the name uncultured bacterium. Its description in RNAcentral is "partial 16S ribosomal RNA". It matches the Rfam family "Bacterial small subunit ribosomal RNA", at positions 94 to 334 of the family's 1533-position model. The record is from RNAcentral.
AGCGGCGGACGGGUGAGUAACGCGUGGGUAACCUGCCUCAUACAGGGGGAUAACAGUUGGAAACGGCUGCUAAUACCGCAUAAGCGCACAGUACCGCAUGGUACGGUGUGAAAAACUCCGGUGGUAUGAGAUGGACCCGCGUCUGAUUAGCUGGUUGGCGGGGUAACGGCCUACCAAGGCGACGAUCAGUAGCCGACCUGAGAGGGUGACCGGCCACAUUGGGACUGAGACACGGCCCAA